Molecule: non-coding RNA, 366 nt
Organism: Empidonax traillii (willow flycatcher)
Lineage: Eukaryota; Metazoa; Chordata; Aves; Passeriformes; Tyrannidae
Source: the annotation of a RefSeq genome assembly
GGACCAACGACCACCUUCGGCGACUACACCAUGUACUGGGUGCGCCAGAGCCCCGGGAAGGGGCUGGAAUGGCUCACUGGGAUCACCAACACUGGUGGUUACACCUACUACGCGCCGUCGGUGAAGGGCCGGUUCAGCAUGGCCAGGGACAACGGGCAGAGCUCGGUGACGCUGCAGAUGAACAACCUCAGGGACGAGGAUUCCAACACCUAUUUCUGUGCCAGGAACUUUGCUGGUGUACAUGGUGUAGUCGCCGAAGGUGAAGCUGGAGGGGCGGACGAGGAGCCACAGGGGCUGAACGGGGCAGAGAUUGGGGGUCAAUGGUUGAGAUUUGGGUCAUCAAUCAUGAUACGGGUCAAUGGUUGA